This 252-nucleotide unclassified non-coding RNA is filed under the name uncultured Enterobacteriaceae bacterium. RNAcentral describes it as "contains 16S-23S intergenic spacer region". It matches the Rfam family "Bacterial small subunit ribosomal RNA", at positions 524 to 776 of the family's 1533-position model. The record is from RNAcentral. Lineage: Bacteria; Pseudomonadati; Pseudomonadota; Gammaproteobacteria; Enterobacterales; Enterobacteriaceae.
UACGGAGGGUGCAAGCGUUAAUCGGAAUUACUGGGCGUAAAGCGCACGCAGGCGGUUGAUUAAGUCAGAUGUGAAAUCCCCGGGCUCAACCCGGGAACGGCAUUUGAAACUGGUCAGCUUGAGUCUUGUAGAGGGGGGUGGAAUUCCAGGUGUAGCGGUGAAAUGCGUAGAGAUCUGGAGGAAUACCGGUGGCGAAGGCGGCCCCUGGACAAAGACUGACGCUCAGGUGCGAAAGCGUGGGGAGCAAACAGG